UUGAUGACGACCGGGCACGGGUGCGUAACGCGUAUAGAAUCUACCUUUUGCUGAGGAAUAGCCCAGAGAAAUUUGGAUUAAUGCCUCAUANUAUGUUUUUAUCUCAUGAUGAUAACAUUAAAGGUUACGGCAAAAGAUGACUAUGCGUCCUAUUAGCUANAUGGNAAGGUAACGGCUUACCAUGGNAACGAUAGGUAGGGGCCCUGANAGGGGGAUCCCCCNCNCUGGUACUGAGACACGGACCANACUCCUACGGGAGGCAGCANUGAGGAAUAUUGGACAAUGGAGGCAACUCUGAUCCAGCCAUGCCGCGUGCAGGAAGACUGCCCUAUGGGUUGUAAACUGCUUUUAUACNGGAAGAAACCGCUCUACGUGUANAGCUCUGACGGUACUGUAAGAAUAAGGAUCGGCUAACUCCGUGCCANCAGCCGCGGUAAUACGGAGGAUCCAAGCGUUAUCCGGAAUCAUUGGGUUUAAAGGGUCCGUAGGUGGAUAAUUAAGUCAGAGGUGAAAGUUUGCAGCUCANCUGUAAAAUUGCCUUUGAUACUGGUUAUCUUGAAUCAUUAUGAA
Molecule: ribosomal RNA, 570 nt
Filed under: marine sponge bacterium PLATEchitin+(1)-23
Lineage: Bacteria
Description: partial 16S ribosomal RNA
Rfam family: Bacterial small subunit ribosomal RNA
Source: RNAcentral